Molecule: ribosomal RNA, 254 nt
Filed under: uncultured bacterium
Lineage: Bacteria
Description: partial 16S ribosomal RNA
Rfam family: Bacterial small subunit ribosomal RNA
Source: RNAcentral
UACGUAGGCAGCGAGCGUUGUUCGGAUUUACUGGGCGUAAAGGGCGCGUAGGCGGUCAGCACAAGUCAGUUGUGAAAUCUCCGGGCUUAACUCGGAAAGGUCAACUGAUACUGUGCGACUAGAGUGCGGAAGGGGCAACUGGAAUUCUCGGUGUAGCGGUGAAAUGCGUAGAUAUCGAGAGGAACACCUGCGGCGAAGGCGGGUUGCUGGGCCGACACUGACGCUGAUGCGCGAAAGCCAGGGGAGCGAACGGG